UACGUAGGGGGCGAGCGUUAUCCGGAAUUAUUGGGCGUAAAGCGUACGUAGGUGGUCUUGUAAGCGUGAGGUGAAAGCCUGCAGCUUGACUGCAGCGAGCCUCAUGAACUGCAAGACUUGAGUGCAGGAGGGGCAAGUGGAACUCCAUGUGUAGCGGUGAAAUGCGUAGAUAUAUGGAAGAACACCGGUGGCGAAGGCGACUUACUGGACUGUAACUGACACUGAGGUACGAAAGCGUGGGGAUCAAACA
This 250-nucleotide ribosomal RNA is filed under the name uncultured prokaryote. RNAcentral's name for it is "partial 16S ribosomal RNA". It matches the Rfam family "Bacterial small subunit ribosomal RNA", at positions 524 to 774 of the family's 1533-position model. The record is from RNAcentral.